This is a long non-coding RNA of Acyrthosiphon pisum (pea aphid), 672 nucleotides long. RefSeq lists it as uncharacterized. Lineage: Eukaryota; Metazoa; Arthropoda; Insecta; Hemiptera; Aphididae. The transcript has 3 exons. The record is from RefSeq and is a predicted model, not a curated record.
AUAAUAUAGUAUCUUAUCUUUUGGCAAAUUGGAUCAAGAUGGACAAUGGUUCUUUAGAGAGUUCUUCUCAUAAUCCCAUGGAAACGGUCUUACAUGGAAUCAUAGCUACGGUUCAUGAUAACGGUACGUGCUCAAGGCCGCGAAAUUGAGAAAAAUAGCUAUUCAAUCAAUCAAAAAUAUUAUUCAAACAUGCGCUCGGGACAAGCUGGUCAACUUGGAAUUUUUUGGAAGCAUUGAUAAAUAUGUAUAAAUGUGUUAUGUAUAUUAUUGUUUAUUAAAUAUCAGUGGCGAAUCAUGGACUCAUAAUUGUUUGACAAGGUAGUAUUAGUGAUAUAAGUGAUAUUUUCCUUAAAAAAUUGUAUUUUAUCUACCAACAUUUAAAUAUUGGUUUUAAAUUUAUAAGUAAAUUGUAGAUGGUAAGUGUGUUGAUAUUAUAUUUUUUUUUUAAAGUAAGGAGCACCAUCCAAGAAUUGGUACAUUAUAGAUAUUAAUAUAUUAUAAAUUAUUUCAGGCUUGACGGAAAUUGGAGUCUACACACCUAUGCCUACAUUAAACAAUCUAUAAGUACACUAUAAAUGCUAUAUUUUUAUCCUAAUAAUGAAGUAUUGUGCGUUUUUAUAUUUAAUAUAUAAUAUACGUAAAAUGAAUAUACCCAUUAUUAAUUCAAAGAAA